Molecule: ribosomal RNA, 2902 nt
Filed under: Escherichia coli
Lineage: Bacteria; Pseudomonadati; Pseudomonadota; Gammaproteobacteria; Enterobacterales; Enterobacteriaceae
Also listed under: 2 other names
Description: bacterial LSU rRNA
Rfam family: Bacterial large subunit ribosomal RNA
Source: RNAcentral
UUAAGCGACUAAGCGUACACGGUGGAUGCCCUGGCAGUCAGAGGCGAUGAAGGACGUGCUAAUCUGCGAUAAGCGUCGGUGAGGUGAUAUGAACCGUUAUAACCGGCGAUUUCCGAAUGGGGAAACCCAGUGUGUUUCGACACACUAUCAUUAACUGAAUCCAUAGGUUAAUGAGGCGAACCGGGGGAACUGAAACAUCUAAGUACCCCGAGGAAAAGAAAUCAACCGAGAUUCCCCCAGUAGCGGCGAGCGAACGGGGAGGAGCCCAGAGCCUGAAUCAGUGUGUGUGUUAGUGGAAGCGUCUGGAAAGGCGUGCGAUACAGGGUGACAGCCCCGUACACAAAAAUGCACAUAUUGUGAGCUCGAUGAGUAGGGCGGGACACGUGGUAUCCUGUCUGAAUAUGGGGGGACCAUCCUCCAAGGCUAAAUACUCCUGACUGACCGAUAGUGAACCAGUACCGUGAGGGAAAGGCGAAAAGAACCCCGGCGAGGGGAGUGAAAAAGAACCUGAAACCGUGUACGUACAAGCAGUGGGAGCCUCUUAAUGGGGUGACUGCGUACCUUUUGUAUAAUGGGUCAGCGACUUAUAUUCUGUAGCAAGGUUAACCGAAUAGGGGAGCCGAAGGGAAACCGAGUCUUAACUGGGCGUUAAGUUGCAGGGUAUAGACCCGAAACCCGGUGAUCUAGCCAUGGGCAGGUUGAAGGUUGGGUAACACUAACUGGAGGACCGAACCGACUAAUGUUGAAAAAUUAGCGGAUGACUUGUGGCUGGGGGUGAAAGGCCAAUCAAACCGGGAGAUAGCUGGUUCUCCCCGAAAGCUAUUUAGGUAGCGCCUCGUGAAUUCAUCUCCGGGGGUAGAGCACUGUUUCGGCAAGGGGGUCAUCCCGACUUACCAACCCGAUGCAAACUGCGAAUACCGGAGAAUGUUAUCACGGGAGACACACGGCGGGUGCUAACGUCCGUCGUGAAGAGGGAAACAACCCAGACCGCCAGCUAAGGUCCCAAAGUCAUGGUUAAGUGGGAAACGAUGUGGGAAGGCCCAGACAGCCAGGAUGUUGGCUUAGAAGCAGCCAUCAUUUAAAGAAAGCGUAAUAGCUCACUGGUCGAGUCGGCCUGCGCGGAAGAUGUAACGGGGCUAAACCAUGCACCGAAGCUGCGGCAGCGACACUAUGUGUUGUUGGGUAGGGGAGCGUUCUGUAAGCCUGUGAAGGUGGCCUGUGAGGGGUGCUGGAGGUAUCAGAAGUGCGAAUGCUGACAUAAGUAACGAUAAAGCGGGUGAAAAGCCCGCUCGCCGGAAGACCAAGGGUUCCUGUCCAACGUUAAUCGGGGCAGGGUGAGUCGACUCCUAAGGCGAGGCCGAAAGGCGUAGUCGAUGGGAAACAGGUUAAUAUUCCUGUACUUGGUGUUACUGCGAAGGGGGGACGGAGAAGGCUAUGUUGGCCGGGCGACGGUUGUCCCGGUUUAAGCGUGUAGGCUGGUUUUCCAGGCAAAUCCGGAAAACCAAGGCUGAGGCGUGAUGACGAGGCACUACGGUGCUGAAGUGACAAAUGCCCUGCUUCCAGGAAAAGCCUCUAAGCAUCAGGUAACAUCAAAUCGUACCCCAAACCGACACAGGUGGUCAGGUAGAGAAUACCAAGGCGCUUGAGAGAACUCGGGUGAAGGAACUAGGCAAAAUGGUGCCGUAACUUCGGGAGAAGGCACGCUGAUAUGUAGGUGAAGCGACUUGCUCGUGGAGCUGAAAUCAGUCGAAGAUACCAGCUGGCUGCAACUGUUUAUUAAAAACACAGCACUGUGCAAACACGAAAGUGGACGUAUACGGUGUGACGCCUGCCCGGUGCCGGAAGGUUAAUUGAUGGGGUUAGCGGUAACGCGAAGCUCUUGAUCGAAGCCCCGGUAAACGGCGGCCGUAACUAUAACGGUCCUAAGGUAGCGAAAUUCCUUGUCGGGUAAGUUCCGACCUGCACGAAUGGCGUAAUGAUGGCCAGGCUGUCUCCACCCGAGACUCAGUGAAAUUGAACUCGCUGUGAAGAUGCAGUGUACCCGCGGCAAGACGGAAAGACCCCGUGAACCUUUACUAUAGCUUGACACUGAACAUUGAGCCUUGAUGUGUAGGAUAGGUGGGAGGCUUUGAAGUGUGGACGCCAGUCUGCAUGGAGCCGACCUUGAAAUACCACCCUUUAAUGUUUGAUGUUCUAACGUUGGCCCGUAAUCCGGGUUGCGGACAGUGUCUGGUGGGUAGUUUGACUGGGGCGGUCUCCUCCUAAAGAGUAACGGAGGAGCACGAAGGUUGGCUAAUCCUGGUCGGACAUCAGGAGGUUAGUGCAAUGGCAUAAGCCAGCUUGACUGCGAGCGUGACGGCGCGAGCAGGUGCGAAAGCAGGUCAUAGUGAUCCGGUGGUUCUGAAUGGAAGGGCCAUCGCUCAACGGAUAAAAGGUACUCCGGGGAUAACAGGCUGAUACCGCCCAAGAGUUCAUAUCGACGGCGGUGUUUGGCACCUCGAUGUCGGCUCAUCACAUCCUGGGGCUGAAGUAGGUCCCAAGGGUAUGGCUGUUCGCCAUUUAAAGUGGUACGCGAGCUGGGUUUAGAACGUCGUGAGACAGUUCGGUCCCUAUCUGCCGUGGGCGCUGGAGAACUGAGGGGGGCUGCUCCUAGUACGAGAGGACCGGAGUGGACGCAUCACUGGUGUUCGGGUUGUCAUGCCAAUGGCACUGCCCGGUAGCUAAAUGCGGAAGAGAUAAGUGCUGAAAGCAUCUAAGCACGAAACUUGCCCCGAGAUGAGUUCUCCCUGACUCCUUGAGAGUCCUGAAGGAACGUUGAAGACGACGACGUUGAUAGGCCGGGUGUGUAAGCGCAGCGAUGCGUUGAGCUAACCGGUACUAAUGAACCGUGAGGCUUAACCUU